RNAcentral lists this ribosomal RNA (253 nucleotides) under uncultured bacterium. Its description in RNAcentral is "partial 16S ribosomal RNA". It matches the Rfam family "Bacterial small subunit ribosomal RNA", at positions 524 to 776 of the family's 1533-position model. The record is from RNAcentral.
UACGUAGGGGGCAAGCGUUGUCCGGAAUCAUUGGGCGUAAAGAGCGUGUAGGCGGUCCGGUAAGUCCGCUGUAAAAGUCAAGGGCUCAACCCUUGAAAGCCGGUGGAUACUGCCGGGCUAGAGUCCGGAAGAGGCGAGUGGAACUCCUGGUGUAGCGGUGAAAUGCGCAGCUAUCAGGAAGAACACCUACGGCGAAGGCAGCUCGCUGGGACGGUACUGACGCUGAGACGCGAAAGCGUGGGGAGCAAACAGG